CUGGACCCUAGUAAUAGGAUCUAUCUGGACCCUAGUAAUAGGAUCUUCUGGACCCUAGUAAUAGGAUCUAACUGGCCCUAGUAAUAGGAUCUAACUGGACCCUAGUAAUAGGAUCUAACUGACCCCUAGUAAUAGGAUCUACUGGACCUUAGUAAUUGGAUCUAUCUGGAACCUAAAGGUUUUACCUUGUCAGAUCACAUGGUCUGGAGAAUAUCCUCCUACCCUGUUUGUGAGCCCUGUAAGUGCCCUGUACCCUGGUAAGUGUGUAAGUAAGAUGUUGUAUUUAAGGGUGGAGUGUAAAAGUGGUGCGAGUGUGCACCCUGGUAAGUGUGUAAGUAAGAUGUUGUAUUUAAGGGUGGAGUGUAAAAGGGUGCGAGUGUGCACCCUUGAAAGUCUACUGUGUGUAUUUAUGUAUCUGUAUUUGUUGCUCUGUGCCCCCCAAUGCUCUGUUGUUCACUGUACAUUUCUACUUCAUCUGUUGAUUGAUUACAUGCUGAUUUAAUCACUUGAUUGAUAGUGCAGGGUGGCAAUUCACAAAGCAGGAGACAGUAUGUCAGCCAUCUUACUUUGAGACACUUACUUUGAGACACAUGAGAUAUCAUUUGUAUUUCUCUGGUUCGUAUCUCAUCUGUUUCAAGUUUAGCAUGGGACGAACUGAGAGAAUGUCAUACUUAUAACAAGUGUGUUUUACCUCUCUGCACUAGGAAAUAUGAAGUCUGAGUGACAAGCUGUUUGUUUGUGCCAUCAUGCCAACUCUUUCUCACUCAUUGUUAUACCAAACACAUUUGGCUUGACAAUGAGCAAUGGAGUUGGCCAGAACACAAACAGAUUUGGGACCAGGAUAGGAAAUCUAGUGUUUCAGAAUAUUUACGGUAGUUAGCCAGCUGAGCUAAAAACAUUGCUCCUGCUUUGUGGGAUACCACCAUAGAGAUUAAUAGAGGCCUCUAGUGGCCAAAAGGCUGUAUUAGCAUGGGCAGCACCAUUGAGGGCUUCCACCAUUUUAAUGUAGUCAACUGGGUUGGACUUCCAACUUCAUUGGCUGAUCCCUCCUGGUGACCCUGUUGGAGUCAUGUCCAACCAGUUCAUUAGGAGGAAUCAGCUAAUCGUGGAGAAGAAUAUUGACUACUACAAUGGCACUGCCCAUGCUGUCAGACGCUGUAAUGGCACAGAUACAAAGAUAAUGGAUACCACCCUGUUCUAACGUUGGUGUUGUGGUCCUGAUGGUCUGUAUACGUAGAUGAGUCCUCUAUCUAUCUAUCUCUAUGGAUACCACCCUGUUCUAACAUUGGUGUUGUGGUACUGUGGUCCUGAUGGUCUGUAUACGUAGAUGAGUCCUCUAUCUAUCUCUAUGGAUACCACCCUGUUCUAAUGUUGGUGUUAUGGUACCGUGGUCCUGAUGGUCUGUAUAGAUGGUGUGAUUGAGGAAAGGAUGACAAAAUACAUCUAUUUAUAAGAGGAAAUGCUACUGAGUGAAAACAAAAUGUCAUAUUUUCUAAAUAGGCUCUAUUUUUUAGAAGUCAAAUCAUUUGGACAGCAAUACUAUCCUAUCCAGGCAUUAAUGGGUUCAAUACCUUGAGAGGUUGACUUUCACGAAGAAAG
Long non-coding RNA from Oncorhynchus tshawytscha (Chinook salmon), 1599 nucleotides. The record is from Ensembl. Lineage: Eukaryota; Metazoa; Chordata; Actinopteri; Salmoniformes; Salmonidae.